AGCGAACGCUGGCGGCAGGCUUAACACAUGCAAGUCGAACGCCCCGCAAGGGGAGUGGCAGACGGGUGAGUAACACGUGGGAACGUACCCUUUGGUUCGGAAUAACUUGGGGAAACUCAAGCUAAUACCGGAUAAGCCCUUAUGGGGAAAGGUUUACUGCCGAAGGAUCGGCCCGCGUCUGAUUAGCUAGUUGGUGAGGUAAUGGCCCACCAAGGCGACGAUCAGUAGCUGGUCUGAGAGGAUGAUCAGCCACACUGGGACUGAGACACGGCCCAGACUCCUACGGGAGGCAGCAGUGGGGAAUAUUGGACAAUGGGGGCAACCCUGAUCCAGCCAUGCCGCGUGAGUGAUGAAGGCCUUAGGGUCGUAAAGCUCUUUUACCCGGGACGAUAAUGACUGUACCGGGAGAAUAAGCCCCGGCUAACUUCGUGCCAGCCGCCGCGGUAA
RNAcentral lists this ribosomal RNA (447 nucleotides) under uncultured bacterium. RNAcentral's name for it is "partial 16S ribosomal RNA". It matches the Rfam family "Bacterial small subunit ribosomal RNA", at positions 29 to 523 of the family's 1533-position model. The record is from RNAcentral.